UCUACCUCUUACUAAGGGAUAGCCCAGAGAAAUUUGGAUUAAUAUCUUAUAGUAUGUUAACUUGGCAUCAAGAUAACAUUAAAGGUUACGGUAAGAGAUGACUAUGCGUCCUAUUAGCUAGAUGGUGUGGUAACGGCACACCAUGGCAACGAUAGGUAGGGGCCCUGAGAGGGGGAUCCCCCACACUGGUACUGAGACACGGACCAGACUCCUACGGGAGGCAGCAGUGAGGAAUAUUGGACAAUGGAGGCAACUCUGAUCCAGCCAUGCCGCGUGCAGGAAGACUGCCCUAUGGGUUGUAAACUGCUUUUAUACAGGAAGAAACACUCUCACGUGUGAGAGCUUGACGGUACUGUAAGAAUAAGGAUCGGCUAACUCCGUGCCAGCAGCCGCGGUAAUACGGAGGAUCCAAGCGUUAUCCGGAAUCAUUGGGUUUAAAGGGUCCGUAGGUGGAUAAUUAAGUCAGAGGUGAAAUCCUGCAGCUCAACUGUAGAAUUGCCUUUGAUACUGGUUGUCUUGAGUUAUUAUGAAGUAGUUAGAAUAUGUAGUGUAGCGGUGAAAUGCAUAGAUAUUACAUAGAAUACCAAUUGCGAAGGCAGAUUACUAAUAAUAUACUGACACUGAUGGACGAAAGCGUGGGGAGCGAACAGGAUUAGAUACCCUGGUAGUCCACGCCGUAAACGAUGGUCACUAGCUGUUCGAACUUCGGUUUGAGUGGCUAAGCGAAAGUGAUAA
RNAcentral lists this ribosomal RNA (735 nucleotides) under uncultured Olleya sp. RNAcentral's name for it is "bacterial SSU rRNA". It matches the Rfam family "Bacterial small subunit ribosomal RNA", at positions 125 to 863 of the family's 1533-position model. The record is from RNAcentral. Lineage: Bacteria; Pseudomonadati; Bacteroidota; Flavobacteriia; Flavobacteriales; Flavobacteriaceae.